CUACUGUCUCUUUUCGAAUACUUUAAAAUUAAUAAGGGGGUGAAAAUGCCCCCAAUCUGAAUAAUAGACGAGAAGACCCUAAGAAUUAUAAUAAUACAUGAAUUGAUUUUGUUACUAUUUUUGUUGGGGCAACAGAGGUGCAAAUUUAAGUAAACCACCUUAAAAUUUUUACUAACAAGCCGAAUAAUUUUAAGAUCGAUUUAAUUACCUUAGGGAUAACAGCAUAAUUAUAUAUUUUAGUUUGUGACCUCGAUGUUGGACUAG
Molecule: ribosomal RNA, 264 nt
Filed under: Megalophaedusa sp. 1 TM-2021
Lineage: Eukaryota; Metazoa; Mollusca; Gastropoda; Stylommatophora; Clausiliidae
Description: partial 16S ribosomal RNA
Source: RNAcentral